AGUGAACGCUGGCGGCGUGCUUAGCACAUGCAAGUCGAACGAGUAAGUGCUGUAGUAAUACAGAUUACUGCUAGUGGCAGACGGGUGAGUAAUACAUGGGAAUCUGCCUUGAAGUCUGGGAUAACUGUUGGAAACGACAGCUAAUACCGGAUAUUGCCGAGAGGUGAAAGACUUAUCGCUUCAAGAUGAGCCCAUGCAAGAUUAGCUAGUUGGUGAGGUAAUGGCUCACCAAGGCGAAGAACUUUAGCUGGUCUAAGAGGAUGAUCAGCCACACUGGAACUGAGACACGGUCCAGACUCCUACGGGAGGCAGCAGUGGGGAAUAUUGGACAAUGGGCGAAAGCCUGAUCCAGCGACGCCGCGUGAGUGAAGAAGGCCUUCGGGUUGUAAAGCUCUUUUAGUAGGGAAGAUGAUGACGGUACCUACAGAAGAAGCUCCGGCUAACUUCGUGCCAGCAGCCGCCGUAA
RNAcentral lists this ribosomal RNA (466 nucleotides) under uncultured bacterium. RNAcentral describes it as "partial 16S ribosomal RNA". It matches the Rfam family "Bacterial small subunit ribosomal RNA", at positions 29 to 523 of the family's 1533-position model. The record is from RNAcentral.